GAUGAAGCAAUAUGGAGAGGUCUUCGAUGCGUCAGUUUUAUUUGAAGUACUUUACCGCGACAGAAGGGUUGUCCUGGUUGGCUUGUCCGAGCGCGCCGCAGCGCUUAAAGAUGCUUGAAGAACUGAUGCAGUGGGAGGUGACUGCCUGACCUCGGAUUUCCGAAUUGCAGACAUCAUGUGUGACUGAGUAUUGGUGUUUAUCGCCGCGCCAGCAGAUAAUUCCUGCUGGCUUUUUUC
This is a non-coding RNA of Citrobacter koseri ATCC BAA-895, 237 nucleotides long. It matches the Rfam family "SgrS RNA". From Rfam's summary of the family: In sugar transport-related sRNA (SgrS) is induced under conditions of glucose phosphate stress in E.coli. This small RNA acts to negatively regulate the translation and stability of the ptsG mRNA, which encodes the major glucose transporter in E. coli. NCBI's taxonomy places the organism in Bacteria, Pseudomonadati, Pseudomonadota, Gammaproteobacteria, Enterobacterales, Enterobacteriaceae. The record is from Rfam.